RNAcentral lists this ribosomal RNA (468 nucleotides) under Triticum aestivum (bread wheat). Its description in RNAcentral is "partial small subunit ribosomal RNA". The record is from RNAcentral. Lineage: Eukaryota; Viridiplantae; Streptophyta; Magnoliopsida; Poales; Poaceae.
AUGGAUUCAAAUUCAACAUAUUUGCUGAAAAUCAAAUUGCUUGGCAACCCAAAAAAAGCUAGGAAGGAUAUCAAAUGCUUUUGUUAUGAUAAGGUUAUUGAUUCCGACUUAACAAAUUAUAAGGAUUUGGUUGAAUCAAUCAUAGAGCAGUACUUGCCUCGCUAUUUGGAAGUUGCACAUGUUCAGUACUAUGAUCCUUUUCUUAAAAUCUACCCAGAAGUAACAUCUGACCAAGAAUUGGUGUCUAUGUUUGAGAAACUCUCUAAGACAAAGGUUGUGCACUUGUUUGUUGCAUAUUGUAAUCCAUCUGAACAAUAUGAUCCUAUCACGGAGUGGCAUAUUCAUGUGCAUAUCCAACCUAGCAAUACAGAACAAGACGAUGAUGAUUAUCUUCGCAACCCAAUACAUGAGAAUAUAAGUGUUCAUGGAGGAUAUAUGCUUCUACAAUGGAAGAUGGGUGCACCGUAA